CCCUAUGGGGGGCAGCAGUGGGGGAUAUUGCACAAUGGGGGGAACCCUGAUGCAGCGACGCCGCGUGGGUGAAGGAGUGCUUCGGCAUGUAAAGCCCUAUCGGCAGGGAAGAAGGAGGACGGUACCUGACUAAGAAGCCCCGGCUAACUACGUGCCAGCAGCCGCGGUAAUACGUAGGGGGCAAGCGUUAUCCGGAUUUACUGGGUGUAAAGGGGGCGCAGACGGCAGCGCAAGCCAGGAGUGAAAGCCCGGGGCCCAACCCCGGGACUGCUCUUGGAACUGCGCGGCUGGAGGGCGGGAGGGGG
This 305-nucleotide ribosomal RNA is filed under the name uncultured bacterium. Its description in RNAcentral is "partial 16S ribosomal RNA". It matches the Rfam family "Bacterial small subunit ribosomal RNA", at positions 337 to 658 of the family's 1533-position model. The record is from RNAcentral.